RNAcentral lists this microRNA precursor (149 nucleotides) under Manihot esculenta (cassava). The record is from RNAcentral. Lineage: Eukaryota; Viridiplantae; Streptophyta; Magnoliopsida; Malpighiales; Euphorbiaceae.
AGAGGCAUAACAUGAAGAUAAGAGUCUGUCUGAUAGCCAAGGAUGACUUGCUGGUUUGCAUUUCUCGUAUGCAAAUGCAGCCCUUGAGUAGGUUUCAGGCAGUCACCUUGGCUAAUUUCACAGGCUCUUAUUUUUCAUGCUAUACCUUC